ACUGCCAUAUCUUGUGUGACUCCGCAUACCACCUUUCCCCCAGGCAAGCCUUUCUGAAGGGCCAACAAGCCCAGCAGAAGACCCCAUGGAUUCCCUAUUCACUUCUGAGUCAUUUUCAUCACCACCUCUGUCUGCGAUAGCAGCUGCUGACCGAGAACCUCCCCAUCUCUUGAAUCUUUUUGGUUUAACUUCUGCACUGUGUUCCUCAGCAGAUGAUGAAUCUUUGCACCCAUCGCCAUUUGCAUCCUCAUUGUCAUCAGAUCCUUGAAUAUCAGCUGCUCGACAAUUUCUCCUCCCUCUUGAGUGGGCAUCUUGGUGACGGCCUUGUUUUCUCCUAGAAAAUGCAGCAACUGUGGCUUUAGCUGUUGUGCGUUUCCGACCAAGAGCUUCGGCUUGCCGGCGAAAAGUCUGGGCAAUAGAAGCUUGGAUCUGAUUAUUGCGAGCCUUCUCCUCCUCAUGAAA
This 462-nucleotide unclassified non-coding RNA is filed under the name Hevea brasiliensis (rubber tree). The record is from RNAcentral. Lineage: Eukaryota; Viridiplantae; Streptophyta; Magnoliopsida; Malpighiales; Euphorbiaceae.